This 370-nucleotide ribosomal RNA is filed under the name uncultured organism. RNAcentral's name for it is "bacterial SSU rRNA". It matches the Rfam family "Bacterial small subunit ribosomal RNA", at positions 526 to 896 of the family's 1533-position model. The record is from RNAcentral.
CGGAGGGUGCAAGUCGUUAUCCGGAUUCACGUGGGCUUAAAGGGUGCGUAGGUGGGCAAGUAAGUCAGUGGUGAAAUCUCCGGGCUUAACCCGGAAACUGCCAUUGAUACUAUUUGUCUUGAAUACUGUGGAGGUCAGCGGAAUAUGUCAUGUAGCGGUGAAAUGCUUAGAUAUGACAUAGAACACCAAUUGCGAAGGCAGCUGGCUACACAGAUAUUGACACUGAGGCACGAAAGCGUGGGGAUCAAACAGGAUUAGAUACCCUGGUAGUCCACGCCCUAAACUAUGGAUACUCGACAUUUGCGAUAAACUGCAAGUGUCUGAGCGAAAGCAUUAAGUAUCCCACCUGGGAAGUACGAUCGCAAGAUUG